UACGGAGGGUGCAAGCGUUAUCCAGAUUCACUGGGUUUAAAGGGUGCGUAGGCGGGUAAGUAAGUCCGUGGUGAAAUCUCUGAGCUUAACUCAGAAACUGCCGUGGAUACUAUUUGCCUUGAAUAUUGUGGAGGUGAGCGGAAUAUGUCAUGUAGCGGUGAAAUGCUUAGAUAUGACAUAGAACACCAAUUGCGAAGGCAGCUCACUACACAAUCAUUGACGCUGAGGCACGAAAGCGUGGGGAUCAAACAGG
RNAcentral lists this ribosomal RNA (253 nucleotides) under uncultured bacterium. Its description in RNAcentral is "partial 16S ribosomal RNA". It matches the Rfam family "Bacterial small subunit ribosomal RNA", at positions 524 to 776 of the family's 1533-position model. The record is from RNAcentral.